Molecule: transfer RNA, 72 nt
Filed under: Bos taurus (domestic cattle)
Lineage: Eukaryota; Metazoa; Chordata; Mammalia; Artiodactyla; Bovidae
Also listed under: 3 other names
Rfam family: tRNA
About the family: Transfer RNA (tRNA) molecules are approximately 80 nucleotides in length. Their secondary structure includes four short double-helical elements and three loops (D, anti-codon, and T loops). Further hydrogen bonds mediate the characteristic L-shaped molecular structure. tRNAs have two regions of fundamental functional importance: the anti-codon, which is responsible for specific mRNA codon recognition, and the 3' end, to which the tRNAs corresponding amino acid is attached (by aminoacyl-tRNA synthetases). tRNAs cope with the degeneracy of the genetic code in two manners: having more than one tRNA (with a specific anti-codon) for a particular amino acid; and 'wobble' base-pairing, i.e. permitting non-standard base-pairing at the 3rd anti-codon position.
Source: Rfam by way of RNAcentral
UCCCUGGCAGUCCCAUGGUUAAGACUCUGCACUGCCAAUGCAGGGGCACAGGUUUGAUUCCUGGUCAGGGAA